This 382-nucleotide ribosomal RNA is filed under the name uncultured bacterium. Its description in RNAcentral is "bacterial SSU rRNA". It matches the Rfam family "Bacterial small subunit ribosomal RNA", at positions 524 to 906 of the family's 1533-position model. The record is from RNAcentral.
UACGAAGGGGGCUAGCGUUGCUCGGAAUCACUGGGCGUAAAGGGUGCGUAGGCGGGUCUUUAAGUCAGGGGUGAAAUCCUGGAGCUCAACUCCAGAACUGCCCUUGAUACUGAAGGUCUUGAGUUCGGGAGAGGUGAGUGGAACUGCGAGUGUAGAGGUGAAAUUCGUAGAUAUUCGCAAGAACACCAGUGGCGAAGGCGGCUCACUGGCCCGAUACUGACGCUGAGGCACGAAAGCGUGGGGAGCAAACAGGAUUAGAUACCCUGGUAGUCCACGCUGUAAACGAUGAAUGCCAGCCGUUAGUGGGUUUACUCACUAGUGGCGCAGCUAACGCUUUAAGCAUUCCGCCUGGGGAGUACGGUCGCAAGAUUAAAACUCAAAG